Molecule: long non-coding RNA, 730 nt
Filed under: Ananas comosus (pineapple)
Lineage: Eukaryota; Viridiplantae; Streptophyta; Magnoliopsida; Poales; Bromeliaceae
Description: long non-coding RNA (ACOM_LNC004415)
Source: RNAcentral
AAAUAUUGAUAAUAUUAAUUUAUUACGACAACGCUUGUUGGCAUUCGGUUAAAUUGAAUCGGGUACGCCCAUAAGCGGGUUCGAUCUGACGGAUAUUAUAUUAUCUAAUUGGAUUGGAAUUAAUCUCGCUUUCAAAUUGAAAAGCUAGUUGGAGAUAAAUCCUAGUUAUAUUAGGAUAACAAUUAAUAACCGAUUUGGCCUUAUCUCUAAGGCUAUUAGGAUUUUGGGAUCCCUUAUAAAUAUGCGGGCAAUCUCACAUAACAAAAGGUACAAGAAUGGAAAGAAAAAGAGAGAAUAAGAAAACAAUAGAGAGAAACCACAUCCUCCAUUAACCUAUUAUUCUAGAGGGACUUGCACGGUGGAUUUGUGAUUGUGCUCAUUUGUAGUUCGAUCCACCGCGAGUUCGGAGCGCAAGAAGACUUUCAAGGACGAUCCAAGGAUACGUGAACCAACCUCUACGAUCCGGGCUCGUCGCGUUGUAGCGCGAAUCGCUUCCGCAAAAAAGGUAUGAACGAAUACUUCUGCUGCGUUCUACAUUGGUAUUAGAGCUUGGUCAUAUUGGGCAGGAUAGAAUGAUUAGAUUAGUUAGAGACAGGUUUUUGAGCUCGCUCACUAAAGUCGACCUGCCCACAUGUGAACAUUGUUUAGCGGGAAAAGCGACCCGAAAAAAUGUACGAACGAAUACUUCCGCUGCGUUCUACAACGCUAAUAAUCAUAUUGUGAUGAAAUG